Molecule: ribosomal RNA, 396 nt
Filed under: uncultured bacterium
Lineage: Bacteria
Description: partial 16S ribosomal RNA
Rfam family: Bacterial small subunit ribosomal RNA
Source: RNAcentral
AUACGUAGGUGGCAAGCGUUGUCCGGAAUUAUUGGGCGUAAAGCGCAUGUAGGCGGUUUGGUAAGUCGGUCGUGAAAAUGCGGUGCUUAACGCCGUAUGGCGAUCGAAACUGCUGAACUUGAGUGCAGGAGAGGAAAGGGGAACUCCCAGGGUAGCGGUGAAAUGGGUAUAGAUCGGGAGGAACACCAGUGGCGAAGGCGGGGAACUGGACGGCAACGGACGCUGAGGCGCGAAAGUGUGGGGAGCAAACAGGAUUAGAUACCCUGGUAGUCCCCACUGUAAACGAUGAAUGCUAGGUGUAAGAGGUAUCGACCCCUCUUGUGCCGGAGUUAACACAAUAAGCAUUCCGCCUGGGGAGUACGGCCGCAAGGUUGAAACUCAAAGGAAUUGGCGGGG